This 938-nucleotide long non-coding RNA is filed under the name Olea europaea subsp. europaea. The record is from RNAcentral. Lineage: Eukaryota; Viridiplantae; Streptophyta; Magnoliopsida; Lamiales; Oleaceae.
GUUUUGUCCUCAUCUUGGUUUCAUUUUCUAUUCCUCUUAAGACAAGAAUGAUGAUUUUUUUUUUGUUUCAAGUCUUGGACAUCUUGCUGCAGAGCUUGUUAGUCACUAGGCCUUCGUAAGACUCAGGAAGAGGUAAGAAGACAAAGGGCCUUCUCCCCUUUCUCAAUAUUAAAAUAGAUAUAUCAUAUUCUUGUAUGCCUUGAUCUUCAACCUGUACAGUUCUCAGUUCUGGUGCAAUUCUUACACAUAUAUUUUCUCCAGUUUUUUCAUAGUCGUGGUGUUGAAUCUUUGAAUUGUCAUAUGCAAUCAUUCAUGAAUGUAGGACCAGUUAAUACUCGAAUUUAAUGUGGUUGGGCAAGACUUGCCUGUGAGAAGACUUGUCUACAUCCAGAGAUAGAACAAGUAAGUGACCCAUGUGCUUGUACACAUUCGAUCAACUCACCGACACUUUCAACCAUUUGUAUAUGUCCUCCUCACUCUCAGCCUGUAUGGAACUGUCAAUUUACCAAUGACCAAGUUGUUUAACAAAUUUGGAUUCCACUAGGUCGGUUCGCUUUACAUGGAGUUGCAAGUUGUGGAAAUUGGUUGAAUCUUGAAAUAGUCCAGUUACCAGGAUUGGAUAUUUAGAGGAGGAGAAUUUUUCUCGUAGUUUUUACUCUUUUAAUCAUAAAUACACCAUUUGUUUUAACCAUAGAUACACUAUUAGGGAGGAAAAGUAAUUGGCAGUGGGAAUCUCCUCGUGUGGGUCCUCAUUGAGUUGGCGAGAGUGGAAGUAGGUGCAAGUGGAACCAAGAAGAUAAUUAUGAGCUUUUUCGAAAGUAGUUUUGGAAUAACAAUGUGAAAAAAUCCUUCUUAAGUAGCUAUUAUCUCGGAAUAUCUUAAAAGAGAGUUUGGCAAUCAAAACAAAAUGGAGUUAGUAUUUUCCAACCUUAUUUAAU